RNAcentral lists this long non-coding RNA (1108 nucleotides) under Sus scrofa (pig). Its description in RNAcentral is "lncRNA (ENSSSCG00070028202.1)". The record is from RNAcentral. Lineage: Eukaryota; Metazoa; Chordata; Mammalia; Artiodactyla; Suidae.
CCCGGCCUAGAGUGACUAUGAAAGUCUGUUUUCAUCAUUUCUGGGUUUUCUGCACAGACAGGCUUCCCAUACAGGAGAUGUUACUGAUGGCUUUGUUGAAGGAGGAUUUAGUCGAUAACAUGGAAAUAGUUUGUAAUAAGAGAUAAAUAUUUGCAAUAAGAGGCUUGGUUUUUUAAGGAAAUGUACCCUUCUAAUUGCCACCGUCGACCAUAAAUUUGCAUUCUUAAUGAAGGAGAAAACAAAGUAGUGAAAUGUUAACCGACUCUGAGUUUGGAGAGAUGGGUAAAUUAGCCUCUUGGGAGUUUACACAGUUCCUCUCUUGAAUUCACUUGUUCUUCUUCAUUGUUUAUUUGCACAUACCUGGUUUCACAUAAGUAAUAAAAGAUUUUUCUUUCUCUCUGUGCUUAUCUAUGUUACACACCAGAGACCUUACCUGAAACUUGAACCCUGGGGAGAGGCUAUUCCCAACAAAAACUACCAAAGCGCAGAGCUAGAGAUUCCCUGGUGACAACGGCUUUUAAAUCCAGUGGAAACAGAGAACUGCAUGAAGCAGCAGAGGGGUCAGCUGCAAGCCGGGGCCCUGCCCCCAGCCCCGGUAACCAGAAUCCCCCAGUCUUUGGAAAGGUAGAUACCAAUGGCACUACCUUCAGCCAGCGUCACAGGCCAAGAGCUGAGGUAGACAGAGGAGCCCCAGUCAUGUGGAAGAAAAGCACUGGACUUAGAUUUCGAUAAUUGAAUGAAGGUCUUACUGGUUGCACAACCCUGGGCAAGACUGUUUCCCUCACUGAACCUGCCUCUACUUCUGUAAAAUGGGGAUGUGUGAUGUUUGAUGUACCUCACAGGCUUGUCAUGAGGAUUGAAUGGGAUGACAAGGAAACUACUUGGCAAACUCUAAAGACUUGCUACUCAAAGGGGCUCCUCAGACCUGCAGCACCAGCAUCAUUCAUAAGUUUGUGAAAAAGGCAAAUCUCCCCACCCCAGACCUCCUGAGACAGAAUCUGCAUUUCAGCAGCAUCCCCAGGUUAGUCAUAUGCACGUUAAAGUUGAGAAGCCCUGCUCUAAGGCACUAAAUCAGUGCAGCCUGUUGUAAUUUGGGGCUCUGUUUUCC